CAGGAAGAAACCAAAUGAAGUUUAACAAGAGCAAGUGAAGAGUCCUGCACCUGGGAAGGAAUAACCGCAUGUAUCAGUAGAGGCUGGCGGAUGACCUGGAGCUCUGCAGAGAAGGACCUGGGGAUCUUGGUGGACGACAGGUUGACCAUGAGCCAGCAGUGUGCCCUCGUGGCCAAGAAGGCCAAUGGGAUC
Long non-coding RNA from Cygnus olor (mute swan), 192 nucleotides. RefSeq lists it as uncharacterized. The transcript is spliced from 3 exons. The record is from RefSeq and is a predicted model, not a curated record. NCBI's taxonomy places the organism in Eukaryota, Metazoa, Chordata, Aves, Anseriformes, Anatidae.